UCCUCCGCCAACGCACGUGUUGAGAAAGGAAGGAGGCUGGAGGCGUUGUCAAGACUCGAGAUAGUCGUAGCUUCCCCCCUCCCUUCUCACCGUGACUGUCUCAGGCUCAGCAGUUGGGAGAACAAUUAAUACUCGCUCAGAAGCACUUCCUGAGGUUAAUUAGCGAAAGAGGAUAAGAGGAAUAUCAAUUCUCGGAAACCACCGUUUCAUAUCUUUUCACUUUUUCUUAAAUUUGAAUUCCCUGAAUUUCUUCUUGAUCAGCUCCUCUUUUCGGUUUAAUCAUGGACGUUGAUCCUCGUCAGUAUGAGCAUAUUGUUGUUAGUGAUGACGAUAUUCACAACAUUGUCUUAUCAUAUCUUGUGCAUAAUUGCUUUAAGGGAACUGUUGAUUCAUUCAUUUCUUCUGCUGGGUUGAAGCAACCGGAAAAUUUUCUUGAGGACAUGGAGAAAA
This is a non-coding RNA of Carica papaya (papaya), 450 nucleotides long. The record is from RefSeq and is a predicted model, not a curated record. Lineage: Eukaryota; Viridiplantae; Streptophyta; Magnoliopsida; Brassicales; Caricaceae.